Molecule: ribosomal RNA, 245 nt
Filed under: uncultured bacterium
Lineage: Bacteria
Description: partial 16S ribosomal RNA
Rfam family: Bacterial small subunit ribosomal RNA
Source: RNAcentral
GACGGGGGAGGCAAGCGUUGUCCGGAAUUACUGGGUGUAAAGGGCAGGCAGGCGGACUCGCAAGUCCGGGGUGAAAUCCAUCGGCUCAACCGGUCGGACGGCCCUGGAAACUGCGAGCCUUGAGUCGAGCAGGGGAGAGGGGAAUUCCUGGUGUAGCGGUGAAAUGCGUAGAUAUCAGGAGGAACACCGGUGGCGAAGGCGCCUCUCUGGGCUCGCACUGACGCUCAUACUGCGAAAGCUGGGGG